GUAAUUUAAAGAACGUGGCUCCCUGCCCCGGUUUCGGGACGCAGGGGCUGCGAACUCUUGAUCAUAUAAAACGACUCUCGACAACGGAUAUCUCGGCUCUCGCAUCGAUGAAGAACGUAGUGAAAUGCGAUACUUGGUGUGAAUUGCAGAAUCCCGUGAACCAUCGAGUUUUUGAACGCAAGUUGCGCCCGAAGCCUUCUGGCCGAGGGCACGUCUGCCUGGGCGUCA
Molecule: ribosomal RNA, 228 nt
Filed under: Begonia hatacoa
Lineage: Eukaryota; Viridiplantae; Streptophyta; Magnoliopsida; Cucurbitales; Begoniaceae
Description: 5.8S ribosomal RNA
Rfam family: 5.8S ribosomal RNA (bases 73-228)
About the family: 5.8S ribosomal RNA (5.8S rRNA) is a component of the large subunit of the eukaryotic ribosome. It is transcribed by RNA polymerase I as part of the 45S precursor that also contains 18S and 28S rRNA.
Source: RNAcentral